This is a long non-coding RNA of Anneissia japonica, 1523 nucleotides long. RefSeq lists it as uncharacterized. The transcript has 2 exons. Lineage: Eukaryota; Metazoa; Echinodermata; Crinoidea; Comatulida; Comatulidae. The record is from RefSeq and is a predicted model, not a curated record.
UGAGCUUCGUGAUGAGUCUGGAAUAUGGACAAUUUCUAUUACUUCAAAAUACUGAAGAUGAUACCUCAAUUAUAUUUGUGGAAUAUUCUUUAUCAGCCUUUGACAAAUUUUGUAAAUUAUUUUAGUAAUUGCCAUGGGAUAUGUAUCUGUUAUUAGCUUGUAUUUUUGCUUUUGAAUAUUUACCUCUAUUCAGCUUAAUCUGUUUAUAGAUUUGUUAGAUGUUUAUGUAUGUAAGAGUGACUAUUAUAUUAGGCCUAUUAUUAUUAUUAUUAUUUAUUAUUAUUAUUAUUAUUAUUAUUAUUAUUAUUUUUAUCAUUAUUAUUAUUAUUAUUAUUAUUAUUAUUAUUAUUAUUAUUAUUAUUAUUAUUAUUAUUUGUUUUUCCAUUAUGUUGAAUUGUUCACCAGUAAAUGCCAAGUCAAUAAACGAGUGCAUGUUUUGUUAGUAUACCUUAUGUUAUAAUUGUUAUUUUCCAUUUAAUUAAAUUAGAUAUAUGCUUAAAUUGUGCACAGUGCACACUAAGAGCAGACAAGAUGGACAGAAAUUAUCUUGAUAAAAUCAUUCAAUAAAACUUUGAAAAGAAGUACAAUGGGCUUAAUCCUUGAAAAGAAGCCCAUCUCGAUAUACUUUGAUUUUCUUUAAAAAAUAUCGGUGUUUUUUUUUCUUUUAUUAAACAAAAUUUACCGUAAAAUGAUUCAAAAUGUGUUCAAUGGUCCUAUUGUUUUAUAAUAGCAAUUCCCAAUACCUGCUAAUACUUACAACAAUCAUUUUGAAACGAAGACCUCCUCUUUAGCUCGGGAUUGUGAUCAGAGCUUUCAACCUUCGCUGUGAAUUUCACUUGCGUACUGGGACAAUCCGCAUCAAGGACUUGUACAUUAUUCAUCUCCACCCAGAAGUAUAAGUCGGUACUUGAUUAUAACGCAACAAAAGCAGUCAGCUACGAAUUGUUUGAUCAUGACGUUUAACUGUACAGUUGCUUGGCUUGACCAAAGACUUUUACUGUACAGUUAACAGUAUUUGGUUUGUCGAUUACAAUUCAUCACAUUUGUUAGACCUGGAAGUAUUCAGCAAAGAAACAUCCACGAAUAUUUGAAUGGCAAGUACCAUACGUAUUAUUUUACUUAAUAAUAUUUAAUAAUAAUAGUAAUAUUUAAUACUAUUAUUGUUUAUUGUUAUUAUUUUAUGAUUAUGAUUAUUAUUAUUACUAUUAUUAAUAACAAUUAAUUUUAAUGUUAUACAUAAAAACGUGUUUAUAUAAAAUUAUAAACAGUAUUCACGAAAAUAAGUAUAUAGUUUACACGCUCGUGUAUACUGUACUUACUGUAAUCAUCAUUUUAAAAGUAGGCUAUUUAAAUAUUUGUCGAAAACUGUUGGUAGAUUAUGAAUAUUUAUAUUGAGGCUAUUCUAUAUGGUAUGGUCGCUCCUCGAUAUGAAAAUCGUUGUUUUUGUAGUAAAUAUGUGACAGAGGAAUUAACAGAUUGGUGUCGCUCCGUCUAAAAUUAUAAAUAAAAUUAUUGUAUGUAAA